GUAGCAAUACCUAGUGGCGCACGGGUGAGUAACGCGUGGAUAAUCUGCCUUCGAGUGGGGGAUAACUAGUCGAAAGAUUAGCUAAUACCGCAUAAGACCACAGGAUCCGAGGAUCUAGGGGUUAAAGGUUUUUCGCUUGAAGAUGAGUCCGCGUGAGAUUAGCUAGUUGGUGAGGUAAUGGCUCACCAAGGCAUUGAUCUCUAACUGGUCUGAGAGGAUGAUCAGUCACACUGGAACUGAGACACGGUCCAGACUCCUACGGGAGGCAGCAGUAGGGAAUAUUGCGCAAUGGAGGAAACUCUGACGCAGCGACGCCGCGUGAGCGAUGAAGGCCUUCGGGUUGUAAAGCUCUGUCGCAGGGGAAUAAGAAAGUGAAUGUACUCUGCAAGAAAGGAUCGGCUAACUUCGUGCCAGCAGCCGCGGUAAGACGAGGGAUCCUAGCGUUGUUCGGAAUCAUUGGGCGUAAAGCGGGUGUAGGUGGCUUGGUAAGUCAGGUGUGAAAUCCCAGGGCUUAACCCUGGAAGUGCAUUUGAUACUGCUGAGCUUGAGUGUAGGAGAGGUUACUAGAAUUCUUGGUGUAGUGGUGAAAUACGUAGAUAUCAAGAGGAAUACCUGAGGCGAAGGCGGGUAACUGGCCUAACACUGACACUCAGACCCGAAAGCGUGGGGAUCAAACAGGAUUAGAUACCCUGGUAGUCCACGCCGUAAACGAUGGAUACUUGUUGUUGGAGGUAUUGACCCCUUCAGUGACGAAGCUAACGCGUUAAGUAUCCCGCCUGGGGAGUACGGUCGCAAGAUUAAAACUCAAAGAAAUUGACGGGGGCCCGCACAAGCGGUGGANCAUGUGGUUUAAUUCGAUGCANCGCNANANCNUUACCUGGGCUUGACAUGUACUGGAANA
This 901-nucleotide ribosomal RNA is filed under the name uncultured bacterium. RNAcentral's name for it is "bacterial SSU rRNA". It matches the Rfam family "Bacterial small subunit ribosomal RNA", at positions 82 to 998 of the family's 1533-position model. The record is from RNAcentral.